UACGGAGGGUGCAAGCGUUAAUCGGAAUUACUGGGCGUAAAGCGCGCGUAGGCGGUUAGGUAAGUCAGAUGUGAAAGCCCCGGGCUCAACCUGGGAACUGCAUUUGAUACUGCCUGACUAGAGUAUGGUAGAGGGGGGUGGAAUUCCCGGAGUAGCGGUGAAAUGCGUAGAUAUCGGGAGGAACACCAGUGGCGAAGGCGGCCCCCUGGACCAAUACUGACGCUGAGGUGCGAAAGCGUGGGGAGCAAACAGG
This 253-nucleotide ribosomal RNA is filed under the name uncultured bacterium. Its description in RNAcentral is "partial 16S ribosomal RNA". It matches the Rfam family "Bacterial small subunit ribosomal RNA", at positions 524 to 776 of the family's 1533-position model. The record is from RNAcentral.